GACUAACGCUGGCGGCGUGCCUAACACAUGCAAGUCGAACGAGAAAGCGAUAGCAAUAUCGCAAGUACAGUGGCGAACGGGUGAGUAACACGUAAACAACCUGCCCUCAAGUGGGGGAAAACCUGGGGAAACCCGGGCUAAUCCCCCGUAAGGUAAUUCAGACACAUGUCUGGAUUAUUAUAGAUUUAUCGCUUAAGGAGGGGUUUGCGUCUGAUUAGCUAGUUGGCGGGAUAACAGCCCACCAAGGCCAUGAUCAGUAGCUGGUCUGAGAGGAUGAUCAGCCACACUGGGACUGAGAUACGGCCCAGACACCUACGGGUGGCUG
This 325-nucleotide ribosomal RNA is filed under the name uncultured bacterium. RNAcentral describes it as "bacterial SSU rRNA". It matches the Rfam family "Bacterial small subunit ribosomal RNA", at positions 28 to 351 of the family's 1533-position model. The record is from RNAcentral.